Molecule: long non-coding RNA, 367 nt
Filed under: Pan troglodytes (chimpanzee)
Lineage: Eukaryota; Metazoa; Chordata; Mammalia; Primates; Hominidae
Description: long non-coding RNA NONPTRT007619
Source: RNAcentral
UCACGCACUCUUUGCUGUUCAAUGUAGGUACCAGCUGGAGGAUGAGUCUGCGCAUUUGGAUGAAAUGCCACUAAUGAUGUCUGAAGAAGGCUUUGAGAAUGAGGAAAGUGAUUACCACACCUUACCACGAGCCAGGAUAAUGCAAAGGAAAAGAGGACUGGAGUGGUUUGUCUGUGAUGGCUGGAAGUUCCUCUGUACCAGUUGCUGUGGUUGGCUGAUAAAUAUUUGUCGAAGAAAGAAAGAACUGAAAGCUCGUACAGUAUGGCUUGGAUGUCCUGAAAAGUGUGAAGAAAAACAUCCCAGGAAUUCUAUAAAAAAUCAAAAAUACAAUGUGUUUACCUUUAUACCUGGGGUAAGACUAUUGCGU